UACGUAGGGGGCAAGCGUUGUCCGGAUUUAUUGGGCGUAAAGAGCGUGUAGGCGGUUUGGUAGGUCCGCUGUGAAAACUCGAGGCUCAACCUCGAGACGCCGGUGGAAACCAUCAGACUAGAGUCCGGAAGAGGAGAGUGGAAUUCCUGGUGUAGCGGUGAAAUGCGCAGAUAUCAGGAGGAACACCAAUAGCGAAGGCAGCUCGCUGGGACGUUACUGACGCUGAGGAGCGAAAGCAUGGGGAGCGAACAGG
This 253-nucleotide ribosomal RNA is filed under the name uncultured bacterium. RNAcentral's name for it is "partial 16S ribosomal RNA". It matches the Rfam family "Bacterial small subunit ribosomal RNA", at positions 524 to 776 of the family's 1533-position model. The record is from RNAcentral.